CUGAUUGAGAUUUUAUAACAAUGGCUUUAGUGGCGGACUGGUGAGUAACGCGUGAGCAACCUGCCUACUAGAGGGAAUAACAGUGAGAAAUCAUUGCUAAUACCGCAUAUGCCAUGAACAUCACAUGAUGAAAAUGGGAAAAGAGUAAUCUGCUAGUAGAUGGGCUCGCGUCUGAUUAGAUAGUUGGUGGGGUAACGGCCUACCAAGUCGACGAUCAGUAGCCGGACUGAGAGGUUGAACGGCCACAUUGGGACUGAGAUACGGCCCAGACUCCUACGGGAGGCAGCAGUCGGGAAUAUUGCGCAAUGGAGGAAACCCUGAUGCAGCGACGCCGCGUGAGCGAAGAAGUAUUUCGGUAUGUAAAGCUCUAUCAGCAGGGAAGAAGAAAUGACGGUACCUGACUAAGAAGCACCGGCUAAAUACGUG
Molecule: ribosomal RNA, 426 nt
Filed under: uncultured bacterium
Lineage: Bacteria
Description: bacterial SSU rRNA
Rfam family: Bacterial small subunit ribosomal RNA
Source: RNAcentral